Haliotis rufescens (red abalone) is the source of this 625-nucleotide long non-coding RNA. RefSeq lists it as uncharacterized. The transcript has 3 exons. Lineage: Eukaryota; Metazoa; Mollusca; Gastropoda; Lepetellida; Haliotidae. The record is from RefSeq and is a predicted model, not a curated record.
GUGUUUUUGUUUUGACGUCAAUUUUAUAAUAAGUAACAUAUGCAGAAUGCUACAUGCAUAUAUAUGACAUGAGACUGGAAUGCUUAUCAAAUCACAGUCGCUGUUUAGUAUUCGACAAGUGUUAUUGAGGUUUUCCAGCUCAAGACCAGCGGAAUUCUCCGAUGUAAACAAGUGGAUAUCAAAGGUGGACAAUAUGCCGAGAAUAAAAGUCGAGAGGAAACUUCGCCAUGUGAAGUAUCGAGAGAGAAUGGGAGACAAGCUCAAGGCUCCUUCAUUCGUAAAUGUUGUUGUAAUCGGGAGUGGAGGGAGAGGUAGUCCACGCUCUGUCAUUAUUGAUACAAGCAUAUCUAAGAGAAUAUCACCAAGUCCUACAAAAACUUUACAGCUGCUUACACUACCAUUGCUCAACUAGAGAAAAGAGAACUGAGUGAGGGUGAUUUUUCCGACUCUGCAAUAAAGGUAGAGUACAUACCUCUAUACAACAGGGAGACACCAGGGGAUGCCACCAGUCGGGACCACACCAAGGAUGGAGAAGAGGCUGUUGCUGACGAGCCAGGUGAUUUUGACAAACCUGGCUUUAUUUACUGAUACAAGAGUAGCUCUUGCUGAAAUAAUAAUUGAUGAU